RNAcentral lists this ribosomal RNA (190 nucleotides) under Enterobacter hormaechei subsp. hoffmannii MRSN 11248. Its description in RNAcentral is "partial 23S ribosomal RNA". It matches the Rfam family "Bacterial large subunit ribosomal RNA", at positions 2758 to 2925 of the family's 2925-position model. The record is from RNAcentral. Lineage: Bacteria; Pseudomonadati; Pseudomonadota; Gammaproteobacteria; Enterobacterales; Enterobacteriaceae.
GAAAAGAUAAGUGCUGAAAGCAUCUAAGCACGAAACUUGACCCGAGAUGAGUUCUCCCUGAGACUUUAAGUCUCCUGAAGGAACGUUGAAGACGACGACGUUGAUAGGUCGGGUGUGUAAGCGCAGCGAUGCGUUGAGCUAACCGAUACUAAUGAACCGUGAGGCUUAACCUUACAACGCCGAAGCUGUU